AUGGAUCCGUCGGCGUCGGCGUCGCUGGUGGUGCGGAGCCCGCGGCAGACGGUGAGCCUGCUGCGGAGCCGGCGGCCGCAGUUCGGUCGGCCGGAGCGGGAGCGGAACCCGCCUCGGCGGGGGAGGGAGGCGUCGGGGCCCAAGCCGUCGGAGGUGUACGGGUUCGUGGGGUCCAUCACCGUGGUGACGGCGACGGCGGUGUACCUGGCGUGGGCCUACGCGCCGGAGCCGGCCCUCCGGUCGCUGGGCAUCACCUACUACCCCACCAAGUACUGGGCGCUGGCCGUGCCGUCGCUCGCCAUGGUCGCCCUCGCCCUCUCCCUCCUCGCCUACCUCGGCUCCAACUUCGUCGCCACCCCUCCCCCCACCUCCUUCUCCACCAUCUUCGACGAGUACAGCCGCGAACGCCCCGGCGCCGCCGCCGCGGUUCAUGUGGAUGCCGCGACGGCGCAAGGAGAUGAGGAGGAAGAAGAAGCGGAGAGGCCGAUCGAGCCCAUUUCGGACAUCAGCAUCCAUCACAUCAACAACCUCAUGUUUGGUGAUCACUGA
RNAcentral lists this ribosomal RNA (549 nucleotides) under Triticum aestivum (bread wheat). Its description in RNAcentral is "partial small subunit ribosomal RNA". The record is from RNAcentral. Lineage: Eukaryota; Viridiplantae; Streptophyta; Magnoliopsida; Poales; Poaceae.